CACAAAUACAGCUUUGGAGUGCUGUUGCAAAGAGCCUUUAACGAGGUGGUAAAUAUGUUUACCUUUGAUAAGGUGAGCUGCCUGAUAAGAUAAGGUGGAUGGCCACUUUUCAAAAGCAAACAUGCACAGAGCUCAGAGCUUUCACCCAGGAGCUGUGCUGGAUCUGAUCAGCAUAAGGAAAUGUCUACUCGCUCCGGAAUAGCUUCCUGAAAUCAAUUUGUUCCUUUUCAGUUUUAAUUAUAAAAUACCACUCGCUAGAGAGAGAUUUAUUCACUCAAGAGGGUGCAACGUUGGAGAGGGAUGUGCAAAAGGUGCUCAUCGCUGUAGUCUCAGCAAUUAGGGUGCAACUCUCAGUUUAACUAGGACACUGUGGGUAUCUACCUCCUGGUGUGUCACCUCCAAGCUAUCCCAUCCAAGGGACAUCCUGCAAAUGGAAAAGAUCAGGAAAUAUCUCAGAGGAGGAGGCCCUCAUUGGUCUGGUCCUCUCCAUAGGUGACCCCACUAUGACAAUCCUGGCUGGCCCAUCGGUCGUGGGCAAGGAGAAGAGAGGCAACGUGGGCAGUGUCUGCACCACAGAAAUCUCUUAAAAUGUCAUUUGUCGGGGGAGAGGAAAACAAAAUUGUUGCGAGAGCAACAGAAGCUGUGAAGUCCAAAAUGGGAGCUCUACUAAAGCCUUUAACGCACUAGGAAAUUUAUGAAAACAUGAAUAAAAGAUUUGGCCGCACACUUUUGAAGAGCGACUCUCUGUGAAUUCUUGUUAUUCAGAGCUGCUCUCAAAGAGAGAGGGGGGGGGAAAAAAGUGUAUCAGAUCAGCCUACGCCUGUGGUGACUCUCACAAGUUUCAGUUCAAGGAAAGAGAAGAAAAUCAGCAGCUACAAAUUCUGACUCAUUUUGAAAUUUCAGCGCGAUUCAGAAGCGACUGUCCUGAUUUGGGGACCGAGUGCUCAGCCCCUGCUCCUGCUCCGAGCUCCCGGCUGAACCUGGUUUUCCUGACCUAGCUCCAGGGGAAAGAAAGAUCAGCAAGAAAACUGUCCACAAGCCAACCCGUCACAUGGCUCCCUAUAAAGAGGAUUUGCAUACCUGACACAGCUAUGGAAAUAUUCCCCACCCGGGAAGGGGCGAGAGAGAAGGACUAAUAGUGCCCCACUAUCAGGAUGCAAGGGGUUAACUAGUUAAACUUCUACAACCCCCCACAGUAACUUUCCAAAAGCUGACAAUAAGUAAAAGAAGUGCUGGUUAUCCAUUUUUUAAAGGGAUGGGAUUGGUUUUAGAAGAAAGGGAAAGAGGAUCAAACACCUCAGAGCAACAAAAGGUUGUGUCAGAGGGCCCUCAAUCACAAACCUCCUUCAACAAGAGAUAUUCCAACCUUCCAGAGCAGUUACCCAGGCAGCACGGCUAAAAAGUUCCCUGACAUGAAAAGAACAAAAACAGAAGGGACAGAGGUAGUUAUUGUUAUGCACACUCCUCUUUUUUUUUUUUUU
Molecule: non-coding RNA, 1481 nt
Organism: Pseudopodoces humilis (Tibetan ground-tit)
Lineage: Eukaryota; Metazoa; Chordata; Aves; Passeriformes; Paridae
Source: RefSeq, a predicted model, not a curated record